UACGGAGGGGGCUAGCGUUGUUCGGAAUUACUGGGCGUAAAGCGUGCGCAGGCGGUUGUGCAAGACAGAGGUGAAAUCCCCGGGCUUAACCUGGGAACUGCCUUUGUGACUGCACGGCUAGAGUGUGUCAGAGGGGGGUAGAAUUCCACGUGUAGCAGUGAAAUGCGUAGAUAUGUGGAGGAAUACCGAUGGCGAAGGCAGCCCCCUGGGAUAACACUGACGCUCAUGCACGAAAGCGUGGGGAGCAAACAGG
RNAcentral lists this ribosomal RNA (253 nucleotides) under uncultured bacterium. RNAcentral describes it as "partial 16S ribosomal RNA". It matches the Rfam family "Bacterial small subunit ribosomal RNA", at positions 524 to 776 of the family's 1533-position model. The record is from RNAcentral.